This 1507-nucleotide long non-coding RNA is filed under the name Anas platyrhynchos platyrhynchos (common mallard). RNAcentral describes it as "lncRNA (ENSAPLG00000017085.1)". Lineage: Eukaryota; Metazoa; Chordata; Aves; Anseriformes; Anatidae. The record is from RNAcentral.
UGAGUUUCAUUUGAAGCUUACUCACUGUUGCAUGUUAAAAGGCGCACAUAAUUAUUCUCACAAUCUGUUUUCAUUCACAUACUCAGAAGACAAUAGCUAGGAGAUGAAAACAAAAUAUGUUUUGCUUGCUAUUGAAAACUGUUAGAGAAAUGAAGAAAAAAAGAAAAAAGAAAAAAAAAAACAGCAACCGCUGACCAGUUCCUAAUACAGCAACACUGCAAUAAAGAAAAAUUCACCUAUCUUUGGGAGUGUUGACAUUAAUGGAGUCAGGAUGUUACACAAAGAGGACACAGGCCUGAAUAAAAGGAAAUUUUGGUCAGUCUGCCAGAUUUCUUCAUUCUAGAAAUAGAAUGAUCGAGAUAUGAAUGAUCAUAGAAUAUCCUGAGUUGGAAAGUACCCACAAGGAUCAUUGACUCCAGCUCGAUCCUUACUUUGUGUUUAUGUAGGUGCCAUAAAAUACCAAUUCUAUAAAAUCAACAUUAAAUUUGUUCCAUUUGAUCAAAGCAAUUAAUGUCAGUUAUUCCAGUUACAACAAAAUAUACAUGGUAAUACCUUUUCACCUUUUAUUUCAGGUAACUUUUCAUUAACCAAAUGUUGGUGUUACUUGUCUUCCCCAGCAUGAUCUAACUUUGCAGCUAGCCCUGCUUCAAGAAAGGGUGUUGGUCUAGAGGUCAGGAGAGGACUCCACACAUCCUUUCCAACCUAAAUUACAUGGUGAUUCUGUUUACAGAUAUUCAUCUCCACUACCAUUACACAAAAACACAACUACCCACAGUUACACUGUAUCUCAUGCAUUUGUCUACAACCAGGUUCAUCUUCCCCGUAGCAAAGCAGCAUUUGCCUAUGGAACUGUUGUCUUUAUAAUCUCAUACGGAUUUUACAGUGUCUCCUGCUGCGUCUGUGUCUGGUAACUACAUCAGCAGUUUGCUAGGAAGGUUAAAUAGCAAGAUACUUUAAAUAGCAAAUUAUCACACUUUAGGACUUACUGUGUUUAAUUCUUAUCUUUUACUUAGAUCCAGCAAAAGACUUGGGCACUUUGAUGGUGUUCAGUUUUCAGCCUAUAGAGUGGAAUCCAUAUGCCUGAGUCAGGUGCCUAUGUUCCUAAUAUUCAACAUGAGGGAAUAAUGCAAAAGUAAAUGUUUAAUCUAUUUGGUAAUUGUCAUUAGUAAUCAACAGGAUGCUGAUUACGGAGUCCAGCUGGCCAAUGGUAUGCUUCAAGAGCAGGUAGCCGUAGAGGUUAAGUAUGGUGUCAGGAGAUAAGUGCAAGGAGCGGGCAGCACACGCCACAUGCUCAGGAUAUGUUUGCUGUCAGUAUUACUGCUAAUAGCAGUAUGGGCAGACUUCCUGCUUGUGAGAAAAAAUGAGUGGGAGCAGUUGUGUCAGUGGAUGUUUUGGGGCCAUUUUCUUUUCAGUAUCGGCUGGUAUUAGCUUUAAUGAUGAUGCCAUGGUAAUCAGUCAAACCCUUUGGCCCUACCAAAAAAUUCCUUUCAUAUCGAUGAACUCUGAG